UACGUAGGCAGCAAGCGUUGUUCGGAAUUACUGGGCGUAAAGGGCGCGUAGGCGGUUGGAUAAGUCAGCUGUGAAAACCACGGGCUUAACUCGUGGCCUGCAGUUGAGACUGUCUGGCUUGAGUGUGGGAGAGGAGAGUGGAAUUCCUGGUGUAGCGGUGAAAUGCGUAGAUAUCAGGAGGAACACCGGUGGCGAAGGCGGCUCUCUGGACCACAACUAACGCUGAGGCGCGAAAGCUAGGGGAGCAAACAGG
This 253-nucleotide ribosomal RNA is filed under the name uncultured bacterium. RNAcentral describes it as "partial 16S ribosomal RNA". It matches the Rfam family "Bacterial small subunit ribosomal RNA", at positions 524 to 776 of the family's 1533-position model. The record is from RNAcentral.